This 377-nucleotide unclassified non-coding RNA is filed under the name uncultured Parachlamydiaceae bacterium. RNAcentral describes it as "contains 16S-23S intergenic spacer region". The record is from RNAcentral. Lineage: Bacteria; Pseudomonadati; Chlamydiota; Chlamydiia; Parachlamydiales; Parachlamydiaceae.
UCCUAGUUAACCUAGGCAGUCUCAUUAGAGUUCCCGGCCGAACCGUUGGCAACUAAUGAUAAGGGUUGCGCUCGUUGCUGGACUUAACCAAACACCUCACGGCACGAGCUGACGACAGCCAUGCAGCACCUGUUUAGCGGCCCCGAAGGGCUUUAACAUCUCUGUCAAAUUCCACUAUAUGUCAAGACUGGGUAAGGUUCUUCGCGUUGCAUCGAAUUAAACCACAUGCUCCACUGCUUGUGCGGGUCCCCGUCAAUUCUUUUGAGUUUCAGCCUUGCGACUGUACUCCCCAGGCGGUAUACUUAUCGCGUUCGCUACGGCACAACCAGGGUUGAGUCCGGUUACACCAAGUAUACAUCGUUUACGGCAAGGACUAC